CGGCGAGUGAAGCGGCAAUAGCUCAAAUUUGAAAGCUGGCGCCUUCGGCGUCCGCGUUGUAAUUUGUAGAGGAUGCUUCGGCGAGGACUCCUGCCUAAGUUCCCUGGAAUGGGACGUCACAGAGGGUGAGAAUCCCGUAUGUGGCGGGCGGUCCAAGCCAUGUGAAGCUCCUUCGACGAGUCGAGUUGUUUGGGAAUGCAGCUCUAAAUGGGAGGUAAAUUUCUUCUAAAGCUAAAUACCGGCCAGAGACCGAUAGCGCACAAGUAGAGUGAUCGAAAGAUGAAAAGCACUUUGGAAAGAGAGUUAAAAAGUACGUGAAAUUGUUGAAAGGGAAGCGCUUGCAACCAGACUCGCUCGCAGUUGCUCAGCUCGCCUCUUGGCGGGUGUACUCUUCUGCGAUCGGGCCAGCAUCAGUUCGGGCGGCCGGAUAAAGGUGUCGGGAAUGUAGCACCCUUCGGGGUGUGUUAUAGCCCGGCGCGGAAUGCGGCCAGCCUGGACUGAGGAUCUCGCUUCGGCAAGGAUGCUGGCGUAAUGGUUGUAAGCGGCCCGUCUUGAAACACGGACCAAGGAGUCUAACAUCUAUGCGAGUGUUUGGGUGUCAAACCCAUGCGCGUAAUGAAAGUGAACGGAGGUGGGAACCCGCAAGGGUGCACCAUCGACCGAUCCUGAUGUCUUCGGAUGGAUUUGAGUAAGAGCAUAGCUGUUGGGACCCGAAAGAUGGUGAACUAUGCCUGAAUAGGGUGAAGCCAGAGGAAACUCUG
Molecule: ribosomal RNA, 761 nt
Filed under: Phyllosticta sp.
Lineage: Eukaryota; Fungi; Ascomycota; Dothideomycetes; Botryosphaeriales; Phyllostictaceae
Description: partial large subunit ribosomal RNA
Rfam family: Eukaryotic large subunit ribosomal RNA
Source: RNAcentral